AGACAUUUCCUCUGUCUCUACAUAUCGUUUUGGAGUUGUUAAAGUUCCUCUGUUGUGUUAGUUGUAUGUAUUCAUGCCUGUAUUAACCAGAUGAAGGUGCAAUUCUGUGUUAAUAUAAGAGAAGUGUGGCCUUCCUUCUCAUAGGACUAAAAGUGAGAUAAUCCCUGUGUAAGAAAUCAUUGAUGCACUGACAUUGUGCUACAUCCAGAUGCAGUAGGGACUUUACCCAGAAAGGAUAUACUUCAAUAUGAGCAGGCUUAUCUCAGCGUGCUACUUCUCCAGCUCCUCAGGAAUACAAAGCUA
Cervus elaphus (red deer) is the source of this 303-nucleotide long non-coding RNA. RefSeq lists it as uncharacterized. The record is from RefSeq and is a predicted model, not a curated record. Lineage: Eukaryota; Metazoa; Chordata; Mammalia; Artiodactyla; Cervidae. The transcript has 3 exons.